Molecule: long non-coding RNA, 416 nt
Organism: Poecilia reticulata (guppy)
Lineage: Eukaryota; Metazoa; Chordata; Actinopteri; Cyprinodontiformes; Poeciliidae
Source: RefSeq, a predicted model, not a curated record
UGUAACAGGUGGAACCACCAGGGGUCGCUGCCUCCACAUCUCGAGCGCCCAUAAAAGGGAAGCUGUCGGGACUGGUGGCAGAUUGUCAAUCUCCUCUGUGUUGGACCAGGUGUGUUGGCCCACGCCUUCCACUGUUUGUCAUCAGGUUUGUGUGUGCUUUUUAUUGUAAAGACAAAACUCUUUUAAUUUGAUUUAUAUCAACUCAGUGUUUGGUGUUCUUUAUAUAGGGCCACACUACAUGUYGUAAUUUGACAAGUGCUUUACCUGGGCGUGUGGUUGAUCGACGCUGCAGUUGUUGCUGCACCCUGCUGUUCCUUUUGAUUUCCUUUUUCCAUAGUUUUUCAUUUAUUUUGUUUACUUAUUGUUUUGCAAAUAUACAUCCUCUUAUUUUGUACUAAUAAAUAUUGUCCUUUUUA